This 147-nucleotide small nuclear RNA is filed under the name Balaenoptera musculus (blue whale). RNAcentral's name for it is "U1 spliceosomal RNA (ENSBMSG00010017091.1)". It matches the Rfam family "U1 spliceosomal RNA". From Rfam's summary of the family: U1 is a small nuclear RNA (snRNA) component of the spliceosome (involved in pre-mRNA splicing). Its 5' end forms complementary base pairs with the 5' splice junction, thus defining the 5' donor site of an intron. There are significant differences in sequence and secondary structure between metazoan and yeast U1 snRNAs, the latter being much longer (568 nucleotides as compared to 164 nucleotides in human). The record is from Rfam by way of RNAcentral. Lineage: Eukaryota; Metazoa; Chordata; Mammalia; Artiodactyla; Balaenopteridae.
AAACUUAUCUGGCAGGAGAGAUAACAAGAUCACAAAGUUGGUUUUCCCAGUGUGAGGCUUUUCCGGAUGUGCUGACCCCUGUGAUUUCCCCAAAUGUGGGAAACUCCACUGCAUAAUUUGUGGUAGUGUUGUGUGUGGGGAACAGAA